Chelonoidis abingdonii (Abingdon island giant tortoise) is the source of this 784-nucleotide long non-coding RNA. RefSeq lists it as uncharacterized. NCBI's taxonomy places the organism in Eukaryota, Metazoa, Chordata, Testudines, Testudinidae. The record is from RefSeq and is a predicted model, not a curated record.
CCUGUUUGCAUAUAAGUCCCAUCUGGCACGUCAUUUUUAACUCCCACCCUUCUGUGCUCAGAGUUUUACCUCUAAUACAUCUCUGCUCUGGGAUUCCUUUUAUAGACAGAAAAAAGGAAGCAAAUAUGGUGCCAAAAGAAUUGUAAAUUGCACCAGGCAGGGUCUCAGAAUGUCAACAAUGGAAGCUGUACUGGAUAUAUGGGCUGCCAGUUCACAUCAAGAGAACUAUUGGGGAGGAAGAUAUUUUACCAUCACACAUCAUGUGAAAGAUCCAUAUCAAACUAGAGAUGGUUUGCUAGUAAAGCCCUAGCAAAUAUACUAAAGGACACAAUCCUGUGAGGGCCAGGGAGAUGCAGAAGAUCACCAAACUGUCAUUUCCACUUUCCAUUUCUGAAGCACGUGGGCCUGAUUCUUCUCUCACUUACACGAGUAUUACAUGUGUCAUUCCACUGACAUCAAGGGAUUACUCUCAAAUGACACCCAUGUGAGAGGAAGGAUGGUCUUGUAGGUUCUGACACAGUUUACAGUCCCGGCUCAGAAUCAGCCAAUACAUGACAUAAUUGGGCCCUGAAAUCCUCUUCUUAAAUUGGAUAAAGCUGCAAGUAUUAUCUGGGUUCUCUGAAUUCUUUUUUUAACCCCAGGAAGGAAACAGGUCACAGCAGUAUUAACAGCUGAUGUCUUAAAUUCAUUACGGGAAUGGCAUAAAAAGCAGUUUAUCAAGGGAGACUGAGUUCAGGUCACACACAUAUGUGGCCUUUGGUCUGAGUCAAAAUAAAAAUAGAAG